RNAcentral lists this transfer RNA (73 nucleotides) under Atopobacter sp. AH10. It matches the Rfam family "tRNA". Rfam says of the family: Transfer RNA (tRNA) molecules are approximately 80 nucleotides in length. The record is from Rfam by way of RNAcentral. Lineage: Bacteria; Bacillati; Bacillota; Bacilli; Lactobacillales; Carnobacteriaceae.
GACCCCAUAGCUCAGCGGAUAGAGCACACGUUUCCUAAACGUGGUGUCGCAGGUUCAAUUCCUGCUGGGGCCG